This 473-nucleotide ribosomal RNA is filed under the name uncultured bacterium. RNAcentral describes it as "bacterial SSU rRNA". It matches the Rfam family "Bacterial small subunit ribosomal RNA", at positions 328 to 793 of the family's 1533-position model. The record is from RNAcentral.
CGCUGUCACUCCUACGGGGAGGCAGCAGUAGGGAAUCUUCACAAUGGGCGCAAGCCUGAUGGAGCAACACCGCGUGAGUGAAGAAGGGUUUCGGCUCGUAAAGCUCUGUUGUUAAAGAAGAACACGUAUGAGAGUAACUGUUCAUACGUUGACGGUAUUUAACCAGAAAGUCACGGCUAACUACGUGCCAGCAGCCGCGGUAAUACGUAGGUGGCAAGCGUUAUCCGGAUUUAUUGGGCGUAAAGAGAGUGCAGGCGGUUUUCUAAGUCUGAUGUGAAAGCCUUCGGCUUAACCGGAGAAGUGCAUCGGAAACUGGAUAACUUGAGUGCAGAAGAGGGUAGUGGAACUCCAUGUGUAGCGGUGGAAUGCGUAGAUAUAUGGAAGAACACCAGUGGCGAAGGCGGCUACCUGGUCUGCAACUGACGCUGAGACUCGAAAGCAUGGGUAGCGAACAGGAUUAGAUACCCUGGUAG